UACGUAGGUCCCGAGCGUUGUCCGGAUUUAUUGGGCGUAAAGCGAGCGCAGGUGGUUUAUUAAGUCUGGUGUAAAAGGCAGUGGCUCAACCAUUGUAUGCAUUGGAAACUGGUAGACUUGAGUGCAGGAGAGGAGAGUGGAAUUCCAUGUGUAGCGGUGAAAUGCGUAGAUAUAUGGAGGAACACCGGUGGCGAAGGCGGCGUUCUGGACUGCAACUGACACUGAGGAACGAAAGCCAGGGGAGCAAACGGG
RNAcentral lists this ribosomal RNA (252 nucleotides) under uncultured bacterium. Its description in RNAcentral is "partial 16S ribosomal RNA". It matches the Rfam family "Bacterial small subunit ribosomal RNA", at positions 524 to 776 of the family's 1533-position model. The record is from RNAcentral.